RNAcentral lists this long non-coding RNA (248 nucleotides) under Capsella rubella. Its description in RNAcentral is "long non-coding RNA (CRUB_LNC003366)". The record is from RNAcentral. Lineage: Eukaryota; Viridiplantae; Streptophyta; Magnoliopsida; Brassicales; Brassicaceae.
AUUUCUUUAUCAAAUUGUUAUUCUUUGUUUUUUUUUUUUUUUGUCUUCUAACAAAAUGUUAUUCACCCAUUCAAUAAACGAUUAGUUUUGGGGUUUUAGUUUGAUUUUUUUUUUAACAAUUUUUUUUUUUGUCUUCUAACGAAUUGAUUUAGUUGAUACUUUUGGUUCGAGUAAUUUGUUAGAAAAUUUAUUUGUUGGGAAGAAAGUAGAAAAAAAAAAUAUUCUUCUUUUGUUUAGUAGUUUAUUUG